UACAGAGGGGGCAAGCGUUGUUCGGAAUUACUGGGCGUAAAGGGCGCGUAGGCGGCACGGCAAGUCGGGAGUGAAAGCCCGGGGCUCAACCCCGGAGGGUCUCUCGAAACUGCCGAGCUAGAGUGCGGAAGAGGCAAUCGGAAUUCCCAGUGUAGCGGUGAAAUGCGUAGAUAUUGGGAAGAACACCGGAGGCGAAGGCGGAUUGCUGGGCCGACACUGACGCUGAGGCGCGAAAGCCAGGGGAGCAAACGGG
RNAcentral lists this ribosomal RNA (253 nucleotides) under uncultured bacterium. RNAcentral describes it as "partial 16S ribosomal RNA". It matches the Rfam family "Bacterial small subunit ribosomal RNA", at positions 524 to 776 of the family's 1533-position model. The record is from RNAcentral.